Molecule: long non-coding RNA, 1596 nt
Filed under: Daphnia pulicaria
Lineage: Eukaryota; Metazoa; Arthropoda; Branchiopoda; Diplostraca; Daphniidae
Description: uncharacterized LOC124321113, transcript variant X2
Source: RNAcentral
AUCCCGGCAGAGUGAUCCCGGCAGUGUACUCCCUAACAAGUGGGCCGUCACAAGAAAAUAUUGAAAGGAAGAGCUACCACUGCCAUUGAUGCAAAUUACAUAUUGAAUAUUUUAAGAAAGUAAAAGAAAGUGGUGACGGUGUAGUGGAAGUGGAGGAAUUACCACUGAUAUCUACAAGUCCAGAAUAUUUGGGAAAUGUACACCCUGAUCAUGAGGACUCAAACUGCAACAUCACAGAUAGUGGAGAUUGUAUUCAAGCUAAAAUAUCGGAAGUUACUGUACGUAAAGACCAGCAUGGGUAAACAAAUAACACUGUGAAAAAUACUGACAAAUAACACAACAGCAAUGUUACUGAUGAUUGAAUUUCACUUCAGACGACGGUUACCCGAAAGUUGUCCAAAACUGUGGUCACAAACACCGUUUAUCAAUCGAACAAUAGCUCCCAUAGUUCUUGGAACAUUACGCUCUACCAGAAAUCAUGACGUAGGUCGAUCCCAACGUAAGAAGUGAUUUGAACUCUGGGUCUGGGUGCUGCAGUAAAACUUACUACUGAACACAAAGAAAUACCUGUCAAUGUUUUUAUUGUCAUAUAUGUACAAAUGAACAUGUAGACUGCAAAUAUGAGAGAGUCAAGAAGGGAAUAAAAAAUCUGAUGUUUUGAACACAAUUUUUUUGUCUUGUGGUUUUACUGUUUAGCUGGUUUGGUAGGCAGUUAAUUGAACAAGAAUGACCUGGGUGCCGUCUUUCCUCGUCUUUCCACCACGCGUAAUGGUGUUCACUGCUUUUUGGACUGGGAUGGGAAGGGUGACCUCGAUGGAGCCUUUGGAAACUUGAUCCUUAUGCUGCCGAGUAAACUUCAGAUCAUCUGUUUAAAGCAUGAAUUUUGGGAUCGCAAGUUGCUAUCUCUCCUUUUUUUAAUUCCAUCUCCGAAUAACGCCUCUAUUUCAUAUUCUAUUGAGAAACCAACUAAGCGAAAACGAAUUUCGUCGGCGCCGGCUGGAAGGACGCAGAACAUAAUGACUUUUCUUGCUCUGCUACAUGGUCUUUGUAGACAGAGACGACGAUGGGUUGAUUAUGAUGAUUAAAUCUUGAGUCCAGAUUCGCAAAGGCAGUAGCGCCUUCUUCCUCUUUUAACUUAGUAAUUUUUGUUACACCUCUAUUUCUGCUGCAGCCUCAUUUGAGGCGGUCGCUUCACCGUGUCGCUUCCUCACUGAAUAAAUUAACAUACAUGUAAUUCAAAUACUACAAAAAUUUAAGAGCAAAUGCUUACAUAACAGACCAAUAGAGCUUCUCAAAUCGUUGAACACAUUACAAAACACACUCAAUGAGAAUUCUUUUAAUAUUUCAUGUUCGUCUUAGAUUGUUUUAGGUUGUGUAGUACCUUCAAUGGUACCGUCUUGAAAAAUUUGUUCGAGAACAACAUGAACCGGAUUUCCCGAAUCACGAUUCCAACAAUUAGGAACCGUAGCCAUAAAAAAGCAAAAGAAUUGAAAACAUGUUUGCUGGCAUGGUUGAAAACUAGAAGAGUUUUUAAUCGUCUGCUCAGUUGUUGCCAUUUUAUCGAUUUGAUAACAUUAAUAUAUUUAAAAAAUUCAA